UUCGGGCUUCCAAUAGUACUGAAGUGCCAGGCACUGAAUCUGAAUGGAAGAAAAGGCAUUUUGUUGCGCAUGCUGACCGGAAGCAAAGACAAGAGGAGAGUUGGGAGGAGGUGCGGGAGCCAGUAUUGAGGUCAAUACUUAGGAAAAUGGGAAAACAUAGUUCAUCAUGUGCAGUUUGUGUCUCAUGUGCGUCGUCAGCUGUUAUCAGAUGCUUCAAAGAGUCGGGCUUCUCUACGAAAGCGUCUUGAAAAGGAGAGAAAGCAACUUCAGCAUUGUGUUAGUCUGCUGUCAUGUUUCUGUGGACGAAGUCACGCAAGAGGACUAUUUGUUGCCUUGGCAUAAUCCUGCAGGGAACAAGGGAGAAACAUUUGCUUUGAAGAAGAAAAUAGUUGAUAGACAUGAACACAUGACCAGGUACAUCGAGGAAUUGCCUGUGCUCAUUCAAGAGAUGGUAUCAACUGUUCUUUUCUUCAAGAAAAAAAAAAAACACCUUGGAAGACAGAAUCAACACCGUGAACAAUGAGGCCAUCAAAA
This is a long non-coding RNA of Lineus longissimus, 534 nucleotides long. RefSeq lists it as uncharacterized. The transcript has 3 exons. NCBI's taxonomy places the organism in Eukaryota, Metazoa, Nemertea, Pilidiophora, Heteronemertea, Lineidae. The record is from RefSeq and is a predicted model, not a curated record.